RNAcentral lists this ribosomal RNA (344 nucleotides) under Chaetodon trifascialis (chevron butterflyfish). Its description in RNAcentral is "partial 12S ribosomal RNA". It matches the Rfam family "Bacterial small subunit ribosomal RNA", at positions 803 to 1348 of the family's 1533-position model. Lineage: Eukaryota; Metazoa; Chordata; Actinopteri; Chaetodontiformes; Chaetodontidae. The record is from RNAcentral.
UAAACAUUGACAGUUAAUAACACCCACUGUCCGCCCGGGUACUACGAGCGCUAGCUUAAAACCCAAAGGACUUGGCGGUGCUUUAGACCCACCUAGAGGAGCCUGUUCUAGAACCGAUAAUCCCCGUUAAACCUCACCCUUCCUUGUUCUUUCCCGCCUAUAUACCACCGUCGUCAGCUUACCCUGUGAAGGCCCUAUAGUAAGCACAAUCGGCAAUGCCCAAUACGUCAGGUCGAGGUGUAGCGAAUGGAAGGGGAAGAAAUGGGCUACAUUUACUAAUAUAGUAAAUACGGAUGAUCACCCUGCAACGAGUAUCUGAAGGAGGAUUUAGCAGUAAGCAAAAA